UGGGGAAUAUUGCGCAAUGGGGGAAACCCUGACGCAGCGACGCCGUGUGAGGGAAGAAGGCUUUCGGGUCGUAAACCUCUGUCAGAAAGGAAGAACCUCCCAAGUCCGAAUAGGGCUUGGGACUGACGGUACUUUCAAAGGAAGCACCGGCUAACUCCGUGCCAGCAGCCGCGGUAAUACGGAGGGUGCAAGCGUUAAUCGGAAUCACUGGGCGUAAAGCGCGCGUAGGCCGCUUUGUAAGUCGGACGUGAAAGCCCUCGGCUCAAACGGGGGACUGCGGUCGAUACUGCGAGGCUUGAGUUCUGGAGAGGGUGGCGGAAUUCCGGGUGUAGGAGUGAAAUACGUAGAUAUCCGGAGGAACACCGGUGGCGGAGGCGGCCACCUGGACAGGUACUGACGCUGAGGCGCGAAAGCGUGGGGAGCAAACAG
RNAcentral lists this ribosomal RNA (429 nucleotides) under uncultured bacterium. RNAcentral describes it as "bacterial SSU rRNA". It matches the Rfam family "Bacterial small subunit ribosomal RNA", at positions 355 to 775 of the family's 1533-position model. The record is from RNAcentral.